AGUGAACGCUGGCGGUAGGCCUAACACAUGCAAGUCGAACGGCAGCACAGGAGAGCUUGCUCUCUGGGUGGCGAGUGGCGGACGGGUGAGGAAUACAUCGGAAUCUACUUUUUCGUGGGGGAUAACGUAGGGAAACUUACGCUAAUACCGCAUACGACCUACGGGUGAAAGCAGGGGAUCUUCGGACCUUGCGCGAUUGAAUGAGCCGAUGUCGGCAUUAGCUAGUUGGCGGGGUAAAGGCCCACCAAGGCGACGAUCCGUAGCUGGUCUGAGAGGAGGAUGAGCCACACUGGAACUGAGACACGGUCCAGACUCCUACGGGAGGCAGCAGUGGGGAAGAUUGGACAAUGGGCGCAAGCCUGAUCCAGCCAUACCGCGUGGGUGAAGAAGGCCUUCGGGUUGUAAAGCCCUUUUGUUGGGAAAGAAAUCCAGCUGGUUAAUACCCGGUUGGGAUGACGGUACCCAAAGAAUAAGCACCGGCUAACUUCGUGCCAGCCGCCGCCGUAA
Molecule: ribosomal RNA, 507 nt
Filed under: uncultured bacterium
Lineage: Bacteria
Description: partial 16S ribosomal RNA
Rfam family: Bacterial small subunit ribosomal RNA
Source: RNAcentral